GAUGAACGCUGGCGGCGUGCCUAAUACAUGCAAGUCGAGCGAACGGACGAGAAGCUUGCUUCUCUGAUGUUAGCGGCGGACGGGUGAGUAACACGUGGAUAACCUACCUAUAAGACUGGGAUAACUUCGGGAAACCGGAGCUAAUACCGGAUAAUAUUUUGAACCGCAUGGUUCAAAAGUGAAAGACGGUCUUGCUGUCACUUAUAGAUGGAUCCGCGCUGCAUUAGCUAGUUGGUAAGGUAACGGCUUACCAAGGCAACGAUGCAUAGCCGACCUGAGAGGGUGAUCGGCCACACUGGAACUGAGACACGGUCCAGACUCCUACGGGAGGCAGCAGUAGGGAAUCUUCCGCAAUGGGCGAAAGCCUGACGGAGCAACGCCGCGUGAGUGAUGAAGGUCUUCGGAUCGUAAAACUCUGUUAUUAGGGAAGAACAUAUGUGUAAGUAACUGUGCACAUCUUGACGGUACCUAAUCAGAAAGCCACGGCUAACUACGUGCCAGCAGCCGCGGUAAUACGUAGGUGGCAAGCGUUAUCCGGAAUUAUUGGGCGUAAAGCGCGCGUAGGCGGUUUUUUAAGUCUGAUGUGAAAGCCCACGGCUCAACCGUGGAGGGUCAUUGGAAACUGGAGAACUUGAGUGCAGAAGAGGAAAGUGGAAUUCCAUGUGUAGCGGUGAAAUGCGCAGAGAUAUGGAGGAACACCAGUGGCGAAGGCGACUUUCUGGUCUGUAACUGACGCUGAUGUGCGAAAGCGUGGGGAUCAAACAGGAUUAGAUACCCUGGUAGUCCACGCCGUAAACGAUGAGUGCUAGGUGUUAGGGGGUUUCCGCCCCUUAGUGCUGCAGCUAACGCAUUAAGCACUCCGCCUGGGGAGUACGACCGCAAGGUUGAAACUCAAAGGAAUUGACGGGGACCCGCACAAGCGGUGGAGCAUGUGGUUUAAUUCGAAGCAACGCGAAGAACCUUACCAAAUCUUGACAUCCUUUGACAACUCUAGAGAUAGAGCCUUCCCCUUCGGGGGACAAAGUGACAGGUGGUGCAUGGUUGUCGUCAGCUCGUGUCGUGAGAUGUUGGGUUAAGUCCCGCAACGAGCGCAACCCUUAAGCUUAGUUGCCAUCAUUAAGUUGGGCACUCUAAGUUGACUGCCGGUGACAAACCGGAGGAAGGUGGGGAUGACGUCAAAUCAUCAUGCCCCUUAUGAUUUGGGCUACACACGUGCUACAAUGGACAAUACAAAGGGCAGCGAAACCGCGAGGUCAAGCAAAUCCCAUAAAGUUGUUCUCAGUUCGGAUUGUAGUCUGCAACUCGACUACAUGAAGCUGGAAUCGCUAGUAAUCGUAGAUCAGCAUGCUACGGUGAAUACGUUCCCGGGUCU
This 1372-nucleotide ribosomal RNA is filed under the name uncultured bacterium. Its description in RNAcentral is "bacterial SSU rRNA". It matches the Rfam family "Bacterial small subunit ribosomal RNA", at positions 28 to 1381 of the family's 1533-position model. The record is from RNAcentral.